Molecule: transfer RNA, 93 nt
Filed under: Pseudomonadota bacterium
Lineage: Bacteria; Pseudomonadati; Pseudomonadota
Also listed under: 1 other name
Description: tRNA-Ser
Source: RNAcentral
AGGGCCGUAACCCCCGUAGUUGCUGUAUUCCAGCGCACGUUCGCCGGUCUCCAAAACCGGAGGUUCCGGGUUCGAAUCCCGGCGCCCCUGCCA